AAUCAACGCUGGCGGCGUGCCUCAGACAUGCAAGUCGAACGAUUAAAGCUCUCUUCGGAGAGUGUAUAGAGUGGCGCACGGGUGAGUAACACGUAAGUAAUCUACCUUUGAGUGGGGAAUAACGUUCGGAAACGAACGCUAAUACCGCAUAAUGCAGCGGCACCGCAAGGUGACAGUUGUUAAAGGAGCAAUCCGCUUAAAGAGGAGCUUGCGGCAGAUUAGCAGUUGGUAAGGUAAUGGCUUACCAAGGCUACGAUCUGUAACCGGUCUUAGA
Molecule: ribosomal RNA, 274 nt
Filed under: uncultured bacterium
Lineage: Bacteria
Description: partial 16S ribosomal RNA
Rfam family: Bacterial small subunit ribosomal RNA
Source: RNAcentral